This 316-nucleotide long non-coding RNA is filed under the name Laticauda laticaudata (blue-ringed sea krait). RNAcentral's name for it is "lncRNA (ENSLLTG00000003679.1)". The record is from RNAcentral. Lineage: Eukaryota; Metazoa; Chordata; Lepidosauria; Squamata; Elapidae.
GACCAGCUCCCAGGCGGUGGCCCUGGCGGAAGGCUUCCUCCUGAGCCAGGCGGAGGAGCAGAAGGAGCCUCUCCAGCGGCAGUGCUGCACUGUGGAGAUCAGAGAUCCUGAGGAAAAGAAGAACCUAUCAAAUCCCCCUCAGGAGCUAUUUUUUAGGAGGAUCCCUUGGGAAGAUCCAUGUCAGGACACCUCAGGAGAAAAGCAAAGAAUGAAGCUUUCUGGUUUUUAUGACGGAGAUGAAACAGUGGUUGAACCUCCAAAUCAACCUAUGAUUCUGCUGAGGGUUGUUGGGAGGGCAACUGAAGCAUUGUGCUGA